AACGAACGCUGGCGGCAUGCCUAACACAUGCAAGUCGAACGAGACCUUCGGGUCUAGUGGCGCACGGGUGCGUAACGCGUGGGAACCUGCCUUUAGGUUCGGAAUAACUCAGAGAAAUUUGAGCUAAUACCGGAUAAAUGUCUUCGGACCAAAGAUUUAUCGCCUUUAGAUGGGCCCGCGUUGGAUUAGCUAGUUGGUGGGGUAAAGCCUACCAAGGCGACGAUCCAUAGCUGGUCUGAGAGGAUGAUCAGCCACACUGGGACUGAGACACGGCCCAGACUCCUACGGAGGCAGCAGUGGGAAUAUGGACAAUGGGCGAAAGCCUGAUCCAGCAAUGCCGCGUGAGUGAUGAAGG
This 355-nucleotide ribosomal RNA is filed under the name uncultured bacterium. RNAcentral describes it as "bacterial SSU rRNA". It matches the Rfam family "Bacterial small subunit ribosomal RNA", at positions 29 to 414 of the family's 1533-position model. The record is from RNAcentral.